This 497-nucleotide ribosomal RNA is filed under the name uncultured bacterium. RNAcentral describes it as "partial 16S ribosomal RNA". It matches the Rfam family "Bacterial small subunit ribosomal RNA", at positions 28 to 507 of the family's 1533-position model. The record is from RNAcentral.
GAUGAACGCUGGCGGCGUGCCUAAUACAUGCAAGUCGAGCGAACAGACGAGGAGCUUGCUCCUCUGACGUUAGCGGCGGACGGGUGAGUAACACGUGGAUAACCUACCUAUAAGACUGGGAUAACUUCGGGAAACCGGAGCUAAUACCGGAUAAUAUAUUGAACCGCAUGGUUCAAUAGUGAAAGACGGUUUUGCUGUCACUUAUAGAUGGAUCCGCGCCGCAUUAGCUAGUUGGUAAGGUAACGGCUUAUCAAGGCAACGAUGCGUGGCCGACCUGAGAGGGUGAUCGGCCACACUGGAACUGAGACACGGUCCAGACUCCUACGGGAGGCAGCAGUAGGGAAUCUUCCGCAAUGGGCGAAAGCCUGACGGAGCAACGCCGCGUGAGUGAUGAAGGUCUUCGGAUCGUAAAACUCUGUUAUUAGGGAAGAACAAAUGUGUAAGUAACUAUGCACGUCUUGACGGUACCUAAUCAGAAAGCCACGGCUAACUACGUG